RNAcentral lists this ribosomal RNA (480 nucleotides) under uncultured bacterium. RNAcentral's name for it is "partial 16S ribosomal RNA". It matches the Rfam family "Bacterial small subunit ribosomal RNA", at positions 46 to 523 of the family's 1533-position model. The record is from RNAcentral.
GCUUAACACAUGCAAGUCGAGCGAGAAUCGUUUAUUGAAGGCUUCGGCUGGAAAUAGAUGAGGAAAGCGGCGAACGGGUGAGUAACGCGUGGGCAACCUGGCCUUAAGAAAAGGAUAGCCCCCGGAAACGGGGAGUAAUACUUAUGAGAAUGAGAGAGGGCAUCCUACUUUCAUUCAAAGCGCAAGCGCUUAAGGAUGGGCCCGCGUAUCAUUAGCUAGUUGGUGAGAUAACAGCCCACCAAGGCAACGAUGAUUAGCCGGUCUGAGAGGGCGAACGGCCACAUUGGUACUGAGAGACGGUCCAAACUCCUACGGGAGGCAGCAGUGGGGAAUAUUGCGCAAUGGAGAAGAACUCUGACGCAGCAAUACCGCGUGGGCGAAGAAGGUCUUCGGAUCGUAAAGCUCUGUUAUCAGGGAAGAAGAAAAUGACGGUACCUGAUGGGCAAGUCCCGGCUAACUACGUGCCAGCAGCCGCCGCCG